RNAcentral lists this non-coding RNA (21 nucleotides) under Arabidopsis thaliana (thale cress). The record is from RNAcentral. Lineage: Eukaryota; Viridiplantae; Streptophyta; Magnoliopsida; Brassicales; Brassicaceae.
CCGUUUUGAUAUUUGCACUAC